AGUGUGUGCUGAGAGACGAGCAAGGUGACUCUGGAGGAGCCUUAUCUUGGCUGCAGAAAGCAAGAUUUCUCUGAAUGAUGGCAGGGGGCUGGCUCUUCUCCGUCUCAGGCCAACCUCACCGAUGCCUGCAAGGUUUCCAGCUGUCAUACCUCACUGUGUGAGGGGCUUUCGGUAUAAAUUCCCAAAUGGGGCUCAUCCCCUUUUCCUUGCCCAAGUCUGGCCUGCAGGUUUUAGCUUCUCUGAGGAAUCUCUUGAAUUCUGGCCUGGGACCCAGUGUUGAACUAGAGCCCAGCUGCCCCCUUUGGCCUCUGCCCAUUGUCUCUUUUGGCCUUAGGUAUCGCCCAUUGUGGUUGAGACUGCUGUCAGCCUACUCCCCUCCCGCCCCAAUGUGCUUGCUGUCCCCUUGGCUCUCACAGGCAGUCUCUCUCUUCUGCACAUGAGAACUUGAAGCUGAGAGGGCCGUCACUAGUCAGUGCCCUCAGAUCACGUGUAGUGUUGCCAUGAUGGAUAAGAGUCCUCACUGCUCUCGGGACUUGCCUUUCACAUGCUACUGAAGCUUCUGCUGGUGUCCCUGUCCAUUUCCCAUCUGGUGGGGUAGAUAACGCUUUCCUCUCUAGUGUCAGCUGAAAUACAGGCAGUAUGAUGUGGUGGGGAUCAGAGUUUCCUGACCAUUAUUCUGGGUCCCACCCAAGAUUGCUGGCAGCCAAUGGUGCUAGUCACCAAAGGAUGCCCUUGUUUGACUCUAGAUUCUGGACAAUGGUCUUGGGCCUCUGAUUGGGGUGAGUCCAGGCUAGAGAAAACAAACGUGGCCUAGGUUGGCUCUGGAUGAGGUAUCUGGGAGAUCACCUGCAGGUGUCCGUACCGGGUGAUGUGACACACCUCAGGCAGGAGGAGCAGAGCCCCACUGCCAGUAGGGAACAAAGGCUCAGGGUCUAGUGUUUUCGGCACCUGAUAGACAGCAAGAGUUAGGAAGUGGACAAAGAGAGGAGCAAAGGGCAGGAGUUAACCGCUUUUGCUUUUUCCUGUCUGUAAAAUUCAAGGACUGUGACUUAUGUGGGUAAGAUGGUUUGGAGCAGGACCAGGCUGACAUUUACAAAACCCUUGCCCUAAUUUAUCAUUGUUUGGGGUGUGUUUUGGAAAGAACCUUUUGCAGGUGAUUUAUAUUCAAAACACAUUAUUUACUUAACAGGUUGUAUGAAUUCACCUCUUCCACACUAUUGAAAAAGGACUGCUUGAUGCUGCCUGAAAA
This 1249-nucleotide long non-coding RNA is filed under the name Equus asinus (donkey). Its description in RNAcentral is "lncRNA (ENSEASG00005031281.1)". Lineage: Eukaryota; Metazoa; Chordata; Mammalia; Perissodactyla; Equidae. The record is from RNAcentral.